Molecule: ribosomal RNA, 694 nt
Filed under: Neoscona scylla
Lineage: Eukaryota; Metazoa; Arthropoda; Arachnida; Araneae; Araneidae
Description: 12S ribosomal RNA
Source: RNAcentral
CUUAAUGCUUUUUCCAAAACAUCAACUAUGUUACGACUUACCUUACCUUUAGAUAAGGGUGACGGGCGAUAUGUGCACAUUGUUUAUCAAAUUCAUUUAAAAUUAUUAUUUAAAAAUUACUAAUAAAUCCUUUUUCAAAAUAAUUUUGAUUAGAUAUCCUUAAAUUGAAUUUAAAGUAACCCAUCUUAUCUUUUAUAUAGUUUACACCUUUACCUAACUUAUUAGGAAAAUCAAUUUUGGAGAAAAUAUUAUUAUUAAUCCUUAAGAUGGAGGUAUAUAAAAUAUUAAUAAAAGUGAAAAUUAUCGUGGAAAAUCGAUCAAAAGACAGGUUCCUCUAAUAUGAGUAAAUGCCGCCAAACUACAUUAGUUUUUUAACACUAAAAUACUACCGGAAUUGAUAAAAUAUAAAAGGGUAUCUAAUCCUGUUUUAAGUUUUUAAUUUUUUCUAUAUAUAAAAUUUUUAUAAAUGAUAAAUAAAAUUUUACUUAAUAUUUAAUAUUAUAAAAAAUAAUUUUAUAAGAAAGUAAUUGCAUAAUCUUAUUUAUAGUAUAACCGCAACUGCUGGCACUAUAAAUAGUUAAUAAAUUGAUUUACAACUUUUAUCAUAAUUAAUGUGUUUAUAUAUUAUUAGUUUCAAUCUUAUAAAUGAACUCUAAUUUAAAUCAAUAUGCUUAAAAGCUGUACUAAGCUUAAA